AUUUAUGGAGAGUUUGAUCCUGGCUCAGAGUGAACGCUGGCGGCGUGCUUAACACAUGCAAGUCGAGCGAGAUUCUACAGCACACCGUAGAGUCUAGCGGCAGACGGGUGAGUAACACGUAGGAAACUUUCCCUGAAAUGGAGGAUACCCCCGAGAAAUCGGGGCUAAUACUGCAUAAGACCACAUUCCGGCAUCGGAAAGAGGUCAAAGGCCCGCAAGGGUCGUUUCGGGAUGGUCCUGCGUCCUAUCAGCUAGUUGGUGAGGUAACGGCUCACCAAGGCUAUGACGGGUAGCCGGCCUGAAAGGGCGAUCGGCCACACUGGAACUGAGACACGGUCCAGACUCCUACGGGAGGCAGCAGUGGGGAAUUUUGGACAAUGGGCGA
Molecule: ribosomal RNA, 385 nt
Filed under: Elusimicrobia bacterium RIFOXYB2_FULL_46_23
Lineage: Bacteria; Pseudomonadati; Elusimicrobiota
Description: bacterial SSU rRNA
Rfam family: Bacterial small subunit ribosomal RNA
Source: RNAcentral